Molecule: long non-coding RNA, 795 nt
Organism: Rattus norvegicus (Norway rat)
Lineage: Eukaryota; Metazoa; Chordata; Mammalia; Rodentia; Muridae
Source: Ensembl
CUCUAGGGUACGGGAGGAGGCUUUGGUGCCAAAUGAAGGCGAAAGAAUUGCCCUAGUUAAUGGGCUGCUCCAAAACUAGAGAAUUUCACCUGAACUCGUGGAUUGAACACUGGAAAAGAAGGCAGAUUCAUGUAAAGUCAUCAAGCUCGUGGACUUCAACCUUUCCAACAAUGUAUUUACAAACCUUCCAAAAGAGAGCCUAGCAUGGCUGCCCUCUGAGAGACCCAACAAGCAGCUGAAAGAGUCAGAUGUGUAUACUUACAGUCAACCAAUGGACACGAGCUGAGGGCUCCUGUGGUUAAAUUAUGGAAAAGCUGGAAGAAACUGAGGAGGAGGGCGACCCCAUGAGAAGACCAGCUGUCUCAACUAACCUGGCCCCCUGAGAUCUCUCACACACUGAGCCACCAACCAGGCAGCAUACACCAGCUGAAAUGAGACCCCCAAAACAUAUAGAGCAGAGGACUGCCUGGUCUGGCCCCAGUGAAAGAAGAAGCACCUUACUCUGGAAGGACCUGAGGCUCCAAUCAUUGUCUCACACAGAUAAUGUGGCAGAAGAAGUUCUGGAUUUAGAAGCUAUCUUCCAGCUUCCUCACUGACUGUGCCCUCCCUGAAGUAUAAAAGAAGAUAAACAGCAAACUGUCUUCCGAAGCCUGAAAUGUUUAAAUCUUGUAUUGAUUGGCUAGAUAAUUCAUGGGGAGCCUCUUUUCUCAGCCUGUGAAGUCUGAAACAGAUUUUAUCACUACAAACCAUUAAAGCUCACCCUUAGCAGGUGGAUUGUGCACAUGGGUCUCUGAC